AGCGAACGCUGGCGGCAGGCCUAACACAUGCAAGUCGAACGAACUCUUCGGAGUUAGUGGCGGACGGGUGAGUAACACGUGGGAACGUGCCUUUUGGUUCGGAAUAACUCAGGGAAACUUGUGCUAAUACCGAAUGUGCCCUUCGGGGGAAAGAUUUAUCGCCAUUAGAGCGGCCCGCGUCUGAUUAGCUAGUUGGUGAGGUAACGGCUCACCACGGCGACGAUCAGUAGCUGGUCUGAGAGGAUGACCAGCCACACUGGGACUGAGACACGGCCCAGAAUCCUACGGGAGGCAGCAGUGGGGAAUCUUGCGCAAUGGGCGAAAGCCUGACGCAGCCAUGCCGCGUGAAUGAUGAAGGUCUUAGGAUUGUAAAAUUCUUUCACCGGGGACGAUAAUGACGGUACCCGGAGAAGAAGCCCCGGCUAACUUCGUG
Molecule: ribosomal RNA, 433 nt
Filed under: uncultured bacterium
Lineage: Bacteria
Description: partial 16S ribosomal RNA
Rfam family: Bacterial small subunit ribosomal RNA
Source: RNAcentral